GACGAACGCUGGCGGCGUGCUUAACACAUGCGAGUCGAACGGAAAGGCCCUGCUUUUGUGGGGUGCUCGAGUGGCGAACGGGUGAGUAACACGUGAGUAACCUGCCCUUGACUUUGGGAUAACUUCAGGAAACUGGGGCUAAUACCGGAUAGGAGCUCCUGCUGCAUGGUGGGGGUUGGAAAGUUUCGGCGGUUGGGGAUGGACUCGCGGCUUAUCAGCUUGUUGGUGGGGUAGUGGCUUACCAAGGCUUUGACGGGUAGCCGGCCUGAGAGGGUGACCGGCCACAUGGGGACGGAGAUACGGCCCAGACUCCUACGGGAGGAAGCAGGGGGGAAGAUUGCACAAGGGGCGGAAGCCUGAUGCAGCAACGCCGCGUGCGGGAUGACGGCCUUCGGGUUGUAAACCGCUUUCGCCUGUGACGAAGCGUGAGUGACGGUAAUGGGUAAAGAAGCACCGGCAAACUACGG
RNAcentral lists this ribosomal RNA (467 nucleotides) under uncultured bacterium. Its description in RNAcentral is "partial 16S ribosomal RNA". It matches the Rfam family "Bacterial small subunit ribosomal RNA", at positions 28 to 506 of the family's 1533-position model. The record is from RNAcentral.